AGUGAACGCUGGCGGCAGGCCUAACACAUGCAAGUCGAGCGGCAGCGCGUCCGACCACCCUCGGGUGGUCGGAUGGCGGCGAGCGGCGGACGGGUGAGGAAUGCAUCGGAAUCUGCCUCGUUGUGGGGGAUAACGUAGGGAAACUUACGCUAAUACCGCAUACGACCUACGGGUGAAAGUGGGGGACCUUCGGGCCUCACGCGAUGAGAUGAGCCGAUGCCGGAUUAGCUAGUUGGCGGGGUAAAGGCCCACCAAGGCGACGAUCCGUAGCUGGUCUGAGAGGAUGAUCAGCCACACUGGAACUGAGACACGGUCCAGACUCCUACGGGAGGUAGCAGUGGGGAAUAUUGGACAAUGGGGGCAACCCUGAUCCAGCCAUGCCGCGUGUGUGAAGAAGGCCUUC
Molecule: ribosomal RNA, 403 nt
Filed under: uncultured bacterium
Lineage: Bacteria
Description: bacterial SSU rRNA
Rfam family: Bacterial small subunit ribosomal RNA
Source: RNAcentral